UACGUAGGGUGCGAGCGUUGUCCGGAAUUAUUGGGCGUAAAGGGCUCGUAGGCGGUUUGUCGCGUCGGGAGUGAAAACCUCGGGCUUAACUCGGGGCUUGCUUUCGAUACGGGCAGACUGGAGGUAUGCAGGGGAGAACGGAAUUCCUGGUGUAGCGGUGAAAUGCGCAGAUAUCAGGAGGAACACCGGUGGCGAAGGCGGUUCUCUGGGCAUGACCUGACGCUGAGGAGCGAAAGUGUGGGGAGCGAUCAGG
This 253-nucleotide ribosomal RNA is filed under the name uncultured bacterium. RNAcentral describes it as "partial 16S ribosomal RNA". It matches the Rfam family "Bacterial small subunit ribosomal RNA", at positions 524 to 776 of the family's 1533-position model. The record is from RNAcentral.